Molecule: non-coding RNA, 320 nt
Filed under: Gossypium arboreum
Lineage: Eukaryota; Viridiplantae; Streptophyta; Magnoliopsida; Malvales; Malvaceae
Description: Eukaryotic large subunit ribosomal RNA
Rfam family: Eukaryotic large subunit ribosomal RNA
Source: Rfam by way of RNAcentral
GGACGGUGCGGCUGCUUCGUUGAGCCGCGCCACGGAAUCGAGAGCUCCAAGUGGUCCAUUUUUGGUAAGCAGAAUUGGCGAUGCGGGAUGAACCGGAAGCCGGGUUACAGUGCCCAACUGCGCGCUAACCUAGAACCCACAAAGGGUAUUGGUCGAUUAAGAUAACAGGACGGUGGUCAUGGAAGUCGAAAUCCGCUAAUGAGUGUAACAACUCACAUGCCGAAUCAACUAGCCCUGAAAAUGGAUGGCGCUCAAGCGCGCGACCUAUACCCAGCCGUCGGGGCAAGGGCCAGGCCCCGAUGAGUAGGAGGGCGCGGCGG